AGCUGGCUGGCUCAGUCAGUGGAGCAUGUGACUCUUGAUCUCAGAGUUGUGAGUUCAAGUCCCACAUUGGCUG
This 73-nucleotide transfer RNA is filed under the name Felis catus (domestic cat). It matches the Rfam family "tRNA". From Rfam's summary of the family: Transfer RNA (tRNA) molecules are approximately 80 nucleotides in length. The record is from Rfam by way of RNAcentral. Lineage: Eukaryota; Metazoa; Chordata; Mammalia; Carnivora; Felidae.